CGCGUGUGUGAAGAAGGCCCUCGGGUUGUAAAGCACUUUCAGCGAGGAAGAACGCCUAGUGGUUAAUACCCAUUAGGAAAGACAUCACUCGCAGAAGAAGCACCGGCUAACUCCGUGCCAGCAGCCGCGGUAAUACGGAGGGUGCAAGCGUUAAUCGGAAUUACUGGGCGUAAAGCGCGCGUAGGUGGCUUGAUAAGCCGGUUGUGAAAGCCCCGGGCUCAACCUGGGAACGGCAUCCGGAACUGUCAAGCUAGAGUGCAGGAGAGGAAGGUAGAAUUCCCGGUGUAGCGGUGAAAUGCGUAGAGAUCGGGAGGAAUACCAGUGGCGAAGGCGGCCUUCUGGACUGACACUGACACUGAGGUGCGAAAGCGUGGGUAGCAAACAGGAUUAGAUACCCUGGUAGUCCACGCCGUAAACGAUGUCGACCAGCCGUUGGGUGCCUAGCGCACUUUGUGGCGAAGUUAACGCGAUAAGUCGACCGCCUGGGGAGUACGGCCGCAAGGUUAAAACUCAAAUGAAUUGACGGGGGCCCGCACAAGCGGUGGAGCAUGUGGUUUAAUUCGAUGCAACGCGAAGAACCUUACCUACUCUUGACAUCCUGCGAACUUGUGAGAGAUCACUUGGUGCCUUCGGGAACGCAGAGACAGGUGCUGCAUGGCUGUCGUCAGCUCGUGUUGUGAAAUGUUGGGUUAAGUCCCGUAACGAGCGCAACCC
RNAcentral lists this ribosomal RNA (714 nucleotides) under Halomonas sp. D15-12A. RNAcentral describes it as "bacterial SSU rRNA". It matches the Rfam family "Bacterial small subunit ribosomal RNA", at positions 398 to 1104 of the family's 1533-position model. Lineage: Bacteria; Pseudomonadati; Pseudomonadota; Gammaproteobacteria; Oceanospirillales; Halomonadaceae. The record is from RNAcentral.